GGGUUGUGAGGUUAAGCGACUAAGCGUACACGGUGGAUGCCCUGGCAGUCAGAGGCGAUGAAGGACGUGCUAAUCUGCGAUAAGCGUCGGUAAGGUGAUAUGAACCGUUAUAACCGGCGAUUUCCGAAUGGGGAAACCCAGUGUGAUUCGUCACACUAUCAUUAACUGAAUCCAUAGGUUAAUGAGGCGAACCGGGGGAACUGAAACAUCUAAGUACCCCGAGGAAAAGAAAUCAACCGAGAUUCCCCCAGUAGCGGCGAGCGAACGGGGAGGAGCCCAGAGCCUGAAUCAGUGUGUGUGUUAGUGGAAGCGUCUGGAAAGGCGCGCGAUACAGGGUGACAGCCCCGUACACAAAAAUGCACAUGCUGUGAGCUCGAUGAGUAGGGCGGGACACGUGGUAUCCUGUCUGAAUAUGGGGGGACCAUCCUCCAAGGCUAAAUACUCCUGACUGACCGAUAGUGAACCAGUACCGUGAGGGAAAGGCGAAAAGAACCCCGGCGAGGGGAGUGAAAAAGAACCUGAAACCGUGUACGUACAAGCAGUGGGAGCACGCUUAGGCGUGUGACUGCGUACCUUUUGUAUAAUGGGUCAGCGACUUAUAUUCUGUAGCAAGGUUAACCGAAUAGGGGAGCCGAAGGGAAACCGAGUCUUAACUGGGCGUUAAGUUGCAGGGUAUAGACCCGAAACCCGGUGAUCUAGCCAUGGGCAGGUUGAAGGUUGGGUAACACUAACUGGAGGACCGAACCGACUAAUGUUGAAAAAUUAGCGGAUGACUUGUGGCUGGGGGUGAAAGGCCAAUCAAACCGGGAGAUAGCUGGUUCUCCCCGAAAGCUAUUUAGGUAGCGCCUCGUGAAUUCAUCUCCGGGGGUAGAGCACUGUUUCGGCAAGGGGGUCAUCCCGACUUACCAACCCGAUGCAAACUGCGAAUACCGGAGAAUGUUAUCACGGGAGACACACGGCGGGUGCUAACGUCCGUCGUGAAGAGGGAAACAACCCAGACCGCCAGCUAAGGUCCCAAAGUCAUGGUUAAGUGGGAAACGAUGUGGGAAGGCCCAGACAGCCAGGAUGUUGGCUUAGAAGCAGCCAUCAUUUAAAGAAAGCGUAAUAGCUCACUGGUCGAGUCGGCCUGCGCGGAAGAUGUAACGGGGCUAAACCAUGCACCGAAGCUGCGGCAGCGACACUAUGUGUUGUUGGGUAGGGGAGCGUUCUGUAAGCCUGCGAAGGUGUGCUGUGAGGCAUGCUGGAGGUAUCAGAAGUGCGAAUGCUGACAUAAGUAACGAUAAAGCGGGUGAAAAGCCCGCUCGCCGGAAGACCAAGGGUUCCUGUCCAACGUUAAUCGGGGCAGGGUGAGUCGACCCCUAAGGCGAGGCCGAAAGGCGUAGUCGAUGGGAAACAGGUUAAUAUUCCUGUACUUGGUGUUACUGCGAAGGGGGGACGGAGAAGGCUAUGUUGGCCGGGCGACGGUUGUCCCGGUUUAAGCGUGUAGGCUGGUUUUCCAGGCAAAUCCGGAAAAUCAAGGCUGAGGCGUGAUGACGAGGCACUACGGUGCUGAAGCAACAAAUGCCCUGCUUCCAGGAAAAGCCUCUAAGCAUCAGGUAACAUCAAAUCGUACCCCAAACCGACACAGGUGGUCAGGUAGAGAAUACCAAGGCGCUUGAGAGAACUCGGGUGAAGGAACUAGGCAAAAUGGUGCCGUAACUUCGGGAGAAGGCACGCUGAUAUGUAGGUGAAGUCCCUCGCGGAUGGAGCUGAAAUCAGUCGAAGAUACCAGCUGGCUGCAACUGUUUAUUAAAAACACAGCACUGUGCAAACACGAAAGUGGACGUAUACGGUGUGACGCCUGCCCGGUGCCGGAAGGUUAAUUGAUGGGGUCAGCGCAAGCGAAGCUCUUGAUCGAAGCCCCGGUAAACGGCGGCCGUAACUAUAACGGUCCUAAGGUAGCGAAAUUCCUUGUCGGGUAAGUUCCGACCUGCACGAAUGGCGUAAUGAUGGCCAGGCUGUCUCCACCCGAGACUCAGUGAAAUUGAACUCGCUGUGAAGAUGCAGUGUACCCGCGGCAAGACGGAAAGACCCCGUGAACCUUUACUAUAGCUUGACACUGAACAUUGAGCCUUGAUGUGUAGGAUAGGUGGGAGGCUUUGAAGUGUGGACGCCAGUCUGCAUGGAGCCGACCUUGAAAUACCACCCUUUAAUGUUUGAUGUUCUAACGUUGACCCGUGAUCCGGGUUGCGGACAGUGUCUGGUGGGUAGUUUGACUGGGGCGGUCUCCUCCUAAAGAGUAACGGAGGAGCACGAAGGUUGGCUAAUCCUGGUCGGACAUCAGGAGGUUAGUGCAAUGGCAUAAGCCAGCUUGACUGCGAGCGUGACGGCGCGAGCAGGUGCGAAAGCAGGUCAUAGUGAUCCGGUGGUUCUGAAUGGAAGGGCCAUCGCUCAACGGAUAAAAGGUACUCCGGGGAUAACAGGCUGAUACCGCCCAAGAGUUCAUAUCGACGGCGGUGUUUGGCACCUCGAUGUCGGCUCAUCACAUCCUGGGGCUGAAGUAGGUCCCAAGGGUAUGGCUGUUCGCCAUUUAAAGUGGUACGCGAGCUGGGUUUAGAACGUCGUGAGACAGUUCGGUCCCUAUCUGCCGUGGGCGCUGGAGAACUGAGGGGGGCUGCUCCUAGUACGAGAGGACCGGAGUGGACGCAUCACUGGUGUUCGGGUUGUCAUGCCAAUGGCACUGCCCGGUAGCUAAAUGCGGAAGAGAUAAGUGCUGAAAGCAUCUAAGCACGAAACUUGCCCCGAGAUGAGUUCUCCCUGACUCCUUGAGAGUCCUGAAGGAACGUUGAAGACGACGACGUUGAUAGGCCGGGUGUGUAAGCGCAGCGAUGCGUUGAGCUAACCGGUACUAAUGAACCGUGAGGCUUAACCUUACAACGCCGAAGGUGUUU
Molecule: ribosomal RNA, 2930 nt
Filed under: Escherichia coli
Lineage: Bacteria; Pseudomonadati; Pseudomonadota; Gammaproteobacteria; Enterobacterales; Enterobacteriaceae
Description: bacterial LSU rRNA
Rfam family: Bacterial large subunit ribosomal RNA
Source: RNAcentral